ACCGAACUUUGCUGCGGGGGACGCGCUGGGCGGCGACGCGUGUGCGCGGGGCGCGCGGGCUGCGGAGCUGACCGCGCACCUCUGGGCGGUCUCCCCGGAGGCGGCGGCCACCCCCCCAACACCCGCCCGCCCCGUCAGUGGCGGCCGCACGACCGCGCGCACCAGCGAAUAAUCGCCGCCCGUGACAUCUCCGCUGACACCUCGCGGCCCGGAGGCGGGGUCGGGGAGGGGGAGGCCACUGCCUGGCACUGCAGUGGGCCUCGUGGACUUUGGGUCCUGGCACUGCCCCCACCUCCUCGCCGCCGGCGCCCCUUCCUGGUCAGACUCCCUCCGGGCCCUCCCCACCACGGGGGGCGCAGGGCCACCCUGCAGGCGGGUCAGGUCGGACGCACGCCCCUUCACGAGCCGGGGCUCCCCAGGCUCCUGAAGGGCGCAGUGCCCCUGCCCCACCGCUUUUAUGCCCCUCUAGCCAGCCCCGAGUGGCCCCCCAUCCCCGCGCGUCCGGCGCGCUCGCCGCCGCCGGGGAACUUUGGCGCGCACGCCCCCACCCGGGCGGCGCCUCCGACUCACCUGCCCCUCGGGCCGCUCCGCGUGCCCGGGCUGCCGCCCUCCGGACGCCCCCGACCCCACCACGGGUACGUCCUGGGGGCGCCCCCACCCCCUUUCUCGGGGAAGUGUCCUUUAGCUCUACAGGGGUUUGGGGGCCGGCGUGGACGACCCCCCGGCCCCCAAGUCCUCCUAGCUAGGGGCUGCCCGGCGGGUGGGGGUCGGGGGUCGGGGGUGGCCGGGGGCGGAGGGGUGAGGCUCGGGACUCUCUCGCCCUCACCCCGCUCGCCUGCUUUAUUUUAUGAUCAUCGUGAGCGUGCUGUCGCCGCUCAGCCCCGCCGCCGCGCCGCAGCCGCCUGGCGCGCCCCGCGCUGCCUCGCUCUGCUGCAGCAUCGGAAAGGCAACCAGGUCAAACUUUGCAGAAACUCAGCCCCUGCGCCGGCCUGGCCCCUAGUCCGCCCGCAGCCGCCGGCCGGGAGCGCAGCGCACGCAGGGACCGCCGCCCGCUCGCCGGCCCCGCGGGGGUGCAGGUCCGCAGGGGGCGGCGGGCGGGCGGGCGAGCGGGCGCCGCCUCCUCCUCGCCGCCCGCCCCGCUCUCCACCCUCGCUCCCCGCACAGAGCCCUCCUCCCCACUGGUGA
Molecule: long non-coding RNA, 1185 nt
Organism: Bos indicus x Bos taurus (hybrid cattle)
Lineage: Eukaryota; Metazoa; Chordata; Mammalia; Artiodactyla; Bovidae
Source: Ensembl